ACAGGGAUUGCCUUAGUAACGGCGAGUGAAGCGGCAACAGCUCAAAUUUGAAAUCUGGCCCUUGGGUCCGAAUUGUAAUUUGUAGAGGAUGAUUUUGGUGCGGUAUCUUCCGAGUUCCUUGGAACAGGACGCCUUAGAGGGUGAGAGCCCCGUACGGUUGAAUGCCUAGCCUCUGUAAAUCUCCUUCGACGAGUCGAGUAGUUUGGGAAUGCUGCUCUAAAUGGGAGGUAAAUUUCUUCUAAAGCUAAAUAUUGGCCAGAGACCGAUAGCGCACAAGUAGAGUGAUCGAAAGAUGAAAAGCACUUUGAAAAGAGGGUUAAAUAGCACGUGAAAUUGUUGAAAGGGAAGGAUUUGUGACCAGACUUUUUCUGGGCGGAUCAUCCGGGGUUCUCUCCGGUGCACUUUGCCCAGUAAAGGCCAGCAUCGAUUUUCGGCGGCGGAUAAAAGCAGUGGGAAUGUGGCUCCCUACGGGGAGUGUUAUAGCCCAUUGUAUAAUACGCUGCUGGGGAUCGAGGUACGCGCUUCUGCAAGGAUGCUGGCGUAAUGGUUAUCAAUCACCCGUCUUGAAACACGGACCAAGGAGUCGAACAUUUAUGCGAGUGUUUGGGUGUUAAACCCUCACGCGUAAUGAAAGUGAACGGAGGUGAGAGCCCGUACGGGUGCAUCAUCGACCGAUCCUGAAGUUUUCGGAUGGAUUUGAGUAAGAGCAUAACUGUUCGGACCCGAAAGAUGGUGAACUAUGCGUGGAUAGGGUGAAGCCAGAGGAAACUCUGGUGGAGGCUCGCAGCGGUUCUGACGUGCAAAUCGAUCGUCAAAUCUGCGCAUGGGGGCGAAAGACUAAUCGAACCAUCUAGUAGCUGGUUACCGCCGA
This 871-nucleotide ribosomal RNA is filed under the name Pestalotiopsis sp. CBS 114972. Its description in RNAcentral is "LSU rRNA". It matches the Rfam family "Eukaryotic large subunit ribosomal RNA", at positions 68 to 964 of the family's 3401-position model. Lineage: Eukaryota; Fungi; Ascomycota; Sordariomycetes; Amphisphaeriales; Sporocadaceae. The record is from RNAcentral.